This is a small nucleolar RNA of Nilaparvata lugens (brown planthopper), 71 nucleotides long. RefSeq annotates it as small nucleolar RNA SNORD34. Lineage: Eukaryota; Metazoa; Arthropoda; Insecta; Hemiptera; Delphacidae. The record is from RefSeq and is a predicted model, not a curated record. The transcript has a single exon.
CAGCACCAAUGAUGUUAAUUAUUUACCUACAUUAUUUGAUCACUGUGAUAGAAUCAUUAUCUGAGGUGUUG